This is a non-coding RNA of Camellia sinensis, 552 nucleotides long. The record is from RefSeq and is a predicted model, not a curated record. NCBI's taxonomy places the organism in Eukaryota, Viridiplantae, Streptophyta, Magnoliopsida, Ericales, Theaceae.
UGUUCUCUAAGCCUAAAAGGUUUGUGUUUCAGGUUUAUGGAGCAAAGGACAAAAAUGACAUAAAUAGAAGUUCUCAUGAACCACACGAUCCCAGUAAUGGAUAUGACUUACAUAUACCUACUUGUCUCCAGCUAUGCCAACCACAGCAAAAAGACGGUGAAACACCGGAAAAAGCAGCAGAUCUAGGAUUACAACUACAAUAACAAAGCAAGCGGGAACAAGGUGUUUGGCGUAGCAGAUAGGAACCUUGGUGGGCAGUUGGGGGUUCGACGAUCCCACGCCCCUCUCCUCUCCCCUUAAGAUAUAUAUAUGAUGUUCUUUCCGUAUCCAGAAAAAAAAUGCAAGCAAAGACGACUGUGGAGAUGAUAGUCAAUUCCAUUAAUGACUUGGCGCAGAGUGACAAAAAUUAUUGUUUAUCAUCAACCUCCUGUGUGGAAGAUAGUGGAAAAGAGACAUUCAGCAUAAACACCAUCAGAUUUGGUAAGAUAAGAUACUCGAAAUAAACUUUUAGGAUUUCUCUGAUAUGAUCAACCACCCACUUUAUUUAUGUAA